CUCACAGUCCGAAUUCUUUCCGAACGGACUAGGCACGGAAAUUACCCGCUCUCUUGCUCCAUUUCUCAAGUAAAGCCGUUGUCUUGAUUCGAAGCUCGAACCCUGCGGCUUAUCUCUUUGUCAUGCAUGCGUCUGCUUCCCGCUCGAAGAGCUCUCAAGCUUCAAGCAAGGAUCCUCCUCCUAUCAAGAUUAACUUCUUUCCAAUUUCAUAUCUUCUGCACCCAAUCGACAGAAAUAUCUUCGGCAGUUCCUCUCACCUCUCUUCAAUGCGGACAUCUCUUUCAAUCCCUCACGAAUUCAAGAUCAUACAGGAAAGGCCAACAACUUCAUACUUUCAUUCUCAUUUCUGGCGUCCUCAUCGAUAACACCUAUCUCGCUACUAAACUUUCCGCCUUUUAUGCUAUAUGUGGCAAAAUGGAAGAGGCCCGGGUAAUCUUCAAUGGUAUUAUGUUAAAGAGCUCCUUUUUGUGGAAUAUGAUGAUAAGAGGAUUUUCAUGUAGUGGAUUUCCUCUUAAUGCCCUUUUUAUGUACCGGCAGAUGUUGGGGUUUGGCAAGAAGGCCGAUAAUUUUACUUACCCAUUUGUUCUUAUGGCCUCUGGUGAUCUGGUUCUUGACGAUGUGGGUAAAAGGAUUCAUUGCGAGGUGAUUGUUAAUGGAUAUGGUGCGGAUGUUUAUGUGAGUAAUUCUCUCCUUGCAAUGUAUUCAAAGUUUGGAGAUAUGGAGACCGCUCAGAAGGUGUUUGACCGAAUGCUUGUUAGAGACAUAACUUCUUGGAACACAAUUAUUUCAGGUUAUGUGUAUAAUGCUCAUCCAGAGAAGAGUUUAUCAAUUUUUGUGGAUAUGAUUUUAGAUGGAUUUCGGUGUGACCAGGUUAGUUUUCUUGGUGUACUGUCUGCGUGCUCUGAUUUGGGUGCAUUCUGCCAAGGAAAGGAGAUUCAUGCUUAUGUUCUUCGAACUGGAGUUGAGUUCAAUAGUUUUUUGUCAAAUGCUCUUAUUGACGUCUAUGUGAAAUCUAACUUUUUAGCCGGAGCAAAAAGACUGCAUGAAAUGAUGUAUAUGAGAGACACUAUUUCAUGGAACACCCUGAUCUUUGGCUGUGCCAGGUAUGGUUAUGCCUUAGAAAGCUUAAGCCUUUUCCAUCAAAUGAAUUAUGAAGGCAUUUACCUUGAUGUUGCCACCUUUCUAGCAGUAUUAGGAGCUUGUGGUCAGCUUGCAGCUUUACACUUCGGAAAGAAUUUACAUUCCCAUCUUAGUAAAAUAGGGCUUGAUCAUGAGGUUUCCAUUGGAACUGCUCUUAUAGACAUGUAUGCUAAGUGUGGCAGUUUAGCUCACUCUUGUCAAAUUUUUGAUGAGAUGCCCACAAAGAAUCUAAUCUCUUGGAGUGCAAUGGUUUCUGCCUAUGGACUACAUGGAAGGGGUGAGGAAGCUGUCGAUUUUUUCAAUCAAAUGAAGAAGAAAGGAAUAAAGCCAGACAAAGUCACUUUCACCUCAGUUCUAUCAGCAUGUAGUCAUGCAGGAUUAGUUGAUAGUGGGAAGGAAAUAUUUCUCCAAAUGCAACAUAGGCAUGCAAUCACUCCUUCUGUUAAGCAAUAUUCCUGCAUGGUUGAUCUUCUUGGAAGAGCUGGGCAUCUGGAUGAAGCAUACAAGCUAAUCCUUGAUAUGGAAGUGAUGCCUAAUGUUGACGUCUGGGCUGCACUUCUUGCUGCUUGCCAGAUCCAUCACAAUGUUGAGCUGGCAGAAAUUGCUGCUCAGCAUGCUUUUAACGUCAGGCCUCAAGGCUUUGGUGUUUACAUCUCCCUCUCCAAUAUUUACGCCAAAGAGAAGAGAUGGGAUGAUGUGAAAAGGGUGCGUGGUUUGGCAAGACGAGACGGACUGAGAAAGCCACCUGGUUGCAGUUAUUUUGAGUUGGAUUUGGAAAUUCACAGGUUUCUAGUAGGAGAUAAGUCUCAUCUACAAUCAAAGGCUAUGAAUGCCACGUUAGUUGAGUUAAAACGGAUGGUGAAGGAAGCUGGAUAUAUCCCAGAUACCAGCUCAGUAUUUUAUGAAGUCGAGGUUGAGUUGAAGGAAAAAAUUCUUUAGGAAUACAGUGAGAGGCUUGCAAUUGCUUUUGCUCUUUUAAACACAUGCUCCGGAACAAGCAUUCUAAUCACCAAAAAUCUCAGGGUGUGGUGAUUUUCAUACAACAACAAAACUUAUUUCUAAGCUUGUCAAUCGAGAAAUUAUUGUAAGGGAUGCUCGUAGGUGCCAUCACUUUAAGAAUGGAACCUGCUCUUGUUGUGAUGAAUGGAUCUGAAAAAGGGAAAGAAGUUAUGGACUAGCCGCUCAGGUUCUGAUCGAAAGUUAUAGGUAUUUUUAUUAUUUUGAUUUUUGUAUAGUGAUGGCUAGUAACUUUUCUGUUAUGUACCUUCUGUCUGUAGCCAUAUACUGUAAUGUAUAUGAUUAUUUUGAUGAAUGAAAGAAAUAUUUUGAAUGAGUUCUUCUGUAUU
This is an RNA transcript of Dendrobium catenatum, 2486 nucleotides long. It is a transcript of the gene named pentatricopeptide repeat-containing protein At1g11290, chloroplastic-like, with no coding region annotated. The record is from RefSeq and is a predicted model, not a curated record. The transcript has 2 exons. NCBI's taxonomy places the organism in Eukaryota, Viridiplantae, Streptophyta, Magnoliopsida, Asparagales, Orchidaceae.